This 2195-nucleotide long non-coding RNA is filed under the name Pongo abelii (Sumatran orangutan). RNAcentral's name for it is "lincRNA". Lineage: Eukaryota; Metazoa; Chordata; Mammalia; Primates; Hominidae. The record is from RNAcentral.
CACAAGAGAGACGAGGUCACUGGAGGAUAAACAUCCGUGACUGCGCCUCAUGAUCCAUCACGCCCGACGGCCGCAGCCUCCCCUGCCAGCUGCCGGCACAGCCAUGAGCAUGGCUCAGGAACGCGCUGUUGUCGCGGGAUGGACGACCGCAGUAGCAGCGUGGGGUCCAUCUGCCUCUCUCUGAGCAGGAAGCCUCUCAGGCUCACACGGGGAGCCACCAGGCUGGACUGGGUGCAGCUUACGGACCUGGCGCGUGCUGUGGGCGUCGGGCCGUGGCUCCUCCAUGCAGUACUUACACUGCUGUCUGCAGAUCGCACCUAAUCAGGAGGGAAUGGUCCAGGCAGGUGGGCAAGGCCACGGCUUGGCCACGGUGGUCCUGCAGGCAGUACUGAGCCCGCCCUGCUGGGCACCCCACAGCCCCUGUGGCUCUCCAGCUGCCACUGAGGCCGGAUGCCCCAUGAGGAGGCUCCCAUCUGUGGGUGGCAAAAUGACGGCCCCGAAGACCCCCGCUUCCUCUCCCGAAGACCCCCGCUUCCUCUCCCUGGGACCUGUGGGUUCACACAGCAGUGGGGACCUGUGACUGUGGAUGGCCCAUCAGCUCCCUCAACAGGGAGGCUGCCGUGGGUGACCCGCGAGGGCACAGGGUACCUCCGUCCUGCUGAGUGGAAGAGGGAGGCCGUGGCAGAGGCGGGCGUGAGGGGGACUGGCCCACCGCUGCUGGCUUCGUGAGGGGCCCCCAGCCAAGGAAAGGCCUCCCAAAGCCGGAAGAGGCCUCCCAGGAGCCUCCAGAAGGAACUUUGGUGUUGGUGGAAUCCGAUGUGAGAGGACACGCGGGCGACCUGUCUUGGGUCACGCCGGUUCCCGGUCCCCACACCAGCCCGCCCUGGGCGGGAACCCUAAGAGGAAGGGACGGGCCAUCGCGGGGCUCUCCCGGAAACCCGCCCCAGGUGCCUCGGUCCCUGCGUCAGUGCGGGGUCUCGGUGGCCGCCCUGCUGGCUCCGGGCACUCCCUCCGCCUUCCUGCCACGCGGCUGGUCCUCCCUGGGCUGGGCUGAGGCACCCUCCAUGCCCACCCGUCAUACCCGGCAAGAGCUGGGGGCGUGAAGCCAGGCCCAGGUGGGCUGUGGCGGCAUCCAGGUGGAAGGACGUGGAGGACUCGGAGGCGGAGGGGUCUCCAGGGCAGGGCAGGGCCGGUUCCCUGGGGCAUCUGCUGUGUCCAGGAGCCCGGCGCUGCCACUGGCCUUGCCCCAAGGCCCAGCUCUGCCCUUCAUCCCCUCAGCACCUCCCCCUGCCUUCCUUCCAUGGGUCCUAAGCUGUGGCAAGUCCUUAAGUUGGGACAGCAGGCACCAGCCCCGCCCCCAACAGGUCACUCGGCGGCUAGGAGCCCAUGUCCUCGUCGGUGACACAAGAAAAUGGUGCAGUCAUGCGAGGGCAUGAGAGGGUCCCGUGGAAGGCACGUUCCAGAAGGUUCCAUCCCAUGGAAGGCAAGUUCCAGAAGGUUCCGUCCUGUGGAAAACACGUUCCAGAAGUUUCCAGCCCGUGGAAGGCACAUUCCAGAAGGUUCUGUCCCGUGGAAGCUACGUUCCAGAAGUUUCCGUCAUGUGGAAGGCACGUUCCAGAAGGUUCUGUUCCAUGGAAGGUCACUCUGUGGGGUGUGCACUGACCCCAGCCAGUGGAUGCUCCCCGUCCAAGAGCAAAGCUACAGUCGGCUGCAGGUGCAGCCUCUUUUGCACAGUGGAAGAAUUUCUCCAGAAGAUAUUCCUGCGAGUGGAGUCACUGGAUCGUAGGCCCAGAUGUCUUCUACUUACUUGAUUUUGCCUGAUGCCUUCCAAGGAGGCUGUGCACAGUGGGUGUGAGACGCCCCAUCUCACCAAUGGGCCAACAUCCCAAUGGGAGAUGUUGAGUUUUCACCGCGGUGCUGAGUGUGACGUGGAAUCUUCUUAUUUUAACUUGUAUUUCCCUCAUUACAAGUUAGGUGGAACAUCUCAAAUAUGUUUCUGGGCCAUUUGAUUUUCCUGCAAGUCGCCUGUUCCAGUUCUUUGCCCAUUUCCUGUUGGGCUGGUCAAUAUUUUUUGCGAUUAUACGUUGGAUACGUGGCUGGCCUUUGGCUUGCCUUUGACCUCGUUUGUUCUAUCGAAGCAUGUGCAGAGUUGUUAAAUUUUAAUGUAUUCAAAUGCAUUAAUCUCUUCUUUCUUU